This is a long non-coding RNA of Gallus gallus (chicken), 976 nucleotides long. The record is from Ensembl. Lineage: Eukaryota; Metazoa; Chordata; Aves; Galliformes; Phasianidae.
CCCGGAAAGCAGCGGCAGCGGCGGGAAGGGGCUCCAAGGAGCAAAGAAUGGCGGCGAGGCGCUGCCGGGAGCAGCAGAAGGCAGCGAGGAGAAGCCGUGAAGCUGCAGAGCGGCGGAGUUGUCUUUUUUCCUUCCCAGGCUGGAAUCUUCCUUCCGCCUUGCUGUGCUGUGGGGAGCAGCUGGAGGCGAUUCUCUUGCAUGAGCGAGGGGUGCAGCCUGGUUCCACCCGGCCCUGAGCUCACGGAAGGGCUGGCUGCCCGCAGGGAAGGAGCUCUGCUUGAGGUCUGCUCCUGGGUGGGCUUUUGUGUGCCCUGUUCCUCAGGAAGGGGUAAGCAGUGCUGGGGUUAUUUGCUAGAUGGAGUGCGCUUGUGUUUCUUGGCUUCCUGAAAGCUGUGUCUGUCUUUUUCACUGCCGGCUGGAGAGACUCGGGGGAGAAAGCGUUGUGCUUGAUGGCACGGUUUCCUUGGGCAAAGGGUGCUUUGGCAGCAGAGGUUUGCUGUCAGGAGGCAUGAAAGCACUGAAGCCAAUGCUGCCGUGCCCUGGGCCCAGAGACAUCAGCUCCCAGCACGUCCCUGGCGGUGGAUGUGCGCAAGCUCUGUGUCUGCCGGUGGUUGCUCCAAAGGCUUUGUGGUCAGCUGUGCGUGGCUGUUUUGCUCUUGAGGGUGUGGGAACAGAGGGCAACACGCUGAUGGGAGUGAUGGUGUCCUGCUCAGCAAAGGAUGUGCUGGGUGGCAGAAGAGGAUUCUUGGCCGAGCGUGGAAAAUCUCUCUGCUCCUUCCUGAAGGUGAGUUUUUCCUGGAUUGCAGGGUGCCCUGGAGGAGGUGACCCCCACUUGACAUCGGUUGGGUAUUUUAAAGCAGCUGAGAUUAAGGAGACAUGACAAAGUUGUGCAAAUGUUCCUGGACGUUCCUAGUUCUUGAAUUGCCUAAAGGAACACAAGCAAUGCAGAGAAAGAAAGAAAGAACGAAAGAAAAAG